UGGUGGAGUGAUUUGUCUGGUUAAUUCCGAUAACGAACGAGACCUUAACCUGCUAACUAGUUUAUCUAUUACAUAGAUACUAACUUCUUAGAGGGACUAUGUGUCGAAAAGCACAUGGAAGUUUGAGGCAAUAACA
This 136-nucleotide ribosomal RNA is filed under the name uncultured eukaryote. RNAcentral describes it as "partial 18S ribosomal RNA". It matches the Rfam family "Eukaryotic small subunit ribosomal RNA", at positions 1299 to 1458 of the family's 1831-position model. The record is from RNAcentral.